GCUGCUUUGAAACAAUGUGUAUUGAAUGAAGUGCUGUAAAUAAAUGUAACUCUAUGAGUUCUGUCUGUUUUUAGGACGAAUUAAAGUUUCUCCCACAUCUCAAUCACCCACACAUCGUCCAGCACAAGGAAUUUAUCAAAGUUUCUGACUGUCUGUAUCUUGUACUGGAGCACUGUGAAGGUGGAGAUCUCGCUCAGAAAAUCAAAAACAAAAAGGGAGGAAAACGUUAUAUUUUCUGAGAAUGAGAUUCUUGACUGGAUUGUGAAGAUCUGCAUGGCUUUAAAGUACCUGCAUGAUCAACAGAUCCUGCAUAAAAACCUGCGACCCGAGAGUAUAUUCUUCACUACAUUGGGAACCAUCCGUCUUGGAGAGUUUGGAGUGGUCCAUCAAC
This is a long non-coding RNA of Cyprinus carpio (common carp), 391 nucleotides long. RefSeq lists it as uncharacterized. The record is from RefSeq and is a predicted model, not a curated record. NCBI's taxonomy places the organism in Eukaryota, Metazoa, Chordata, Actinopteri, Cypriniformes, Cyprinidae. The transcript has 4 exons.